This 1197-nucleotide long non-coding RNA is filed under the name Oncorhynchus kisutch (coho salmon). Its description in RNAcentral is "lncRNA (ENSOKIG00005028299.1)". Lineage: Eukaryota; Metazoa; Chordata; Actinopteri; Salmoniformes; Salmonidae. The record is from RNAcentral.
AUGAGCUAUGGUCAAUCCCUAUCCCAGUCUGUUGUUCCCACAUGCUUCAAGAGGGCCACCAUUGUUCCUGUUCCCAAGAAAGCUAAAGUAACUGAGCUAAACGACUACCGCUCCGUAGCACUCACUUCCGUCAUCAUGAAGUGCUUUGAGAGACUAGUCAAGGACCAUAUCACCUCCACCCUACCUGACACCCUAGACCCACUCGAAUUUGCUUACCGCCCAAAUGGGUCCACAGACGAUGCAAUCUCAACCACACUGCACACUGCCCUAGCCCAUCUGGACAAGAGGAAUACCUAUGUGAGAAUGCUGUUCAUCGACUACAGCUCGGCAUUUAACACCAUAGUGCCCUCCAAGCUCGUCAUCAAGCUCGAGACCCUGGGUCUCGACCCCGCCCUGUGCAACUGGGUACUGGACUUCCUGACGGGCCGCCCCCAGGUGGUGAGGGUAAGCAACAACAUCUCCACCCCGCUGAUCCUCAACACUGGGGCCCCACAAGGGUGCGUUCUGAGCCCUCUCCUGUACGCCCUGUUCACCCACGACUGCGUGGCCACGCACGCCUCCAACUCAAUCAUCAAGUUUGCGGACGACACAACAGUGUUUAACAACGACGAGACUGCCUACAGGGAGGAGGUGAGGGCCCUCGGAGUGUGGUGUCAGGAAAAUAACCUCACACUCAACGUCAACAAAACUAAGGAGAUGAUUGUGGACUUCAGGAAACAGCAGAGGGAACACCCCCCUAUCCACAUCGAUGGAACAGUAGUGGAGAGGGUAGUAAGUUUUAAGUUCCUCGGCGUACACAUCACAGACAAACUGAAUUGGUCCACCCACACAGACAGCAUCGUGAAGAAGGCGCAGCAGCGCCUCUUCAACCUCAGGAGGCUGAAGAAAUUCGUCUUGUCACCAAAAGGACUCACAAACUUCUACAGAUGCACAAUCGAGAGCAUCCUGUCGGGCUGUAUCACCGCCUGGUACGGCAACUGCUCCGCCCACAACCGUAAGGCUCUCCAGAGGGUAGUGAGGUCUGCACAACGCAUCACCGGGUGCAAACAACCUGCCCUCCAGGACACCUACACCACUCGAUGUCACAGGAAGGCCAUAAAGAUCAUCAAGGACAACAACCACCCGAGCCACUGCCUGUUCACCCCGCUAUCAUCCAGAAGGCGAGGUCAGUACAGGUGCAUCAAAGCUGGGACCUGA